Molecule: ribosomal RNA, 245 nt
Filed under: Ilyonectria panacis
Lineage: Eukaryota; Fungi; Ascomycota; Sordariomycetes; Hypocreales; Nectriaceae
Description: partial large subunit ribosomal RNA
Rfam family: Eukaryotic large subunit ribosomal RNA
Source: RNAcentral
CGUGAAAUUGUUGAAAGGGAAGCGCUCAUGACCAGUCUUGGGCUUGGUUGAUCAUCCAGGGUUCUCCCUGGUUCACUCUUCCAGCCCAGGCCAGCAUCAGUUCGCUGUGGGGGAUAAAGGCUUUGGGAAUGUGGCUCCUCCGGGAGUGUUAUAGCCCAUUGUGUAAUACCCUGUGGUGGACUGAGGUUCGCGCAUCUGCAAGGAUGCUGGCGUAAUGGUCAUCAGCGACCCGUCUUGAAACACGG